RNAcentral lists this ribosomal RNA (253 nucleotides) under uncultured bacterium. RNAcentral's name for it is "partial 16S ribosomal RNA". It matches the Rfam family "Bacterial small subunit ribosomal RNA", at positions 524 to 776 of the family's 1533-position model. The record is from RNAcentral.
UACGAGGGGGGCGAGCGUUGUUCGGAAUUAUUGGGCGUAAAGCGCGCGUAGGCGGUGAUCUUUGUCAGAGGUGAAAGCCUGGGGCUCAACUCCAGAAUUGCCUUUGAAACGGGAUUGCUUGAGUCCGAGAGAGGAUGGCGGAAUUCCUAGUGUAGAGGUGAAAUUCGUAGAUAUUAGGAAGAACACCGGUGGCGAAGGCGGCCAUCUGGCUCGGUACUGACGCUCAGGCGCGAAAGCGUGGGGAGCAAACAGG